This is a long non-coding RNA of Oreochromis niloticus (Nile tilapia), 1822 nucleotides long. RefSeq lists it as uncharacterized. NCBI's taxonomy places the organism in Eukaryota, Metazoa, Chordata, Actinopteri, Cichliformes, Cichlidae. The transcript has 3 exons. The record is from RefSeq and is a predicted model, not a curated record.
GAGCGCCAGAAACAGACUGUUGCUGUUCCGUCUGUGUUCUGUGUGUAUAACUGAAGGUUGCACUAGUUUGGUCUUGAAUUUUGAGUGCGUAGUCUUUUUUUCAUAAAACCCGAAGCUCGUCUACACGAUCAAAUCAGGAGACAUUGCCCCUAAACUAUCGGACUGAUUCGGAGAGUGCCUCUGUUCCACUAAAUUAAGACUAAAAGGUCAGCCUUCUGUGUACGCACAGAACAUGGAUGACAUCAUCCGCACAGUCUUUACGGCUGUGCUAUGGACCCUUGCCUCAUCCCACGAAGACCACAAAAACAUCACAAUUGAAUCUGGACAGAACCUCACUCUGCCAUGUCGAGUUUCAAACAUGUCCUUCAUAGCCAUAGAGUGGAGCAGAUUUGACUUAAAGCCAGAAUAUGUACUUUUAAGCCGUGACGGGCACUUUGACCCACACAACCAGCAUUUAUCUUUUAUGAAUCGAGUUGAUCUGCAGGAAAGAAAGAUGAAGGAUGGAGACGUGUCUUUGAUUCUGAAGGACGUGACGACUGAUGACACUGGAACAUACGAGUGUCGUGUCUUCAUGGAAGAAACACGCUCAUGGAAAUCCAUCAGCAUCAUCUACCUGAGAGCUGUUGUUCCUCCAGGUCCGCCAGUAGAGAAUCGACCUGUGGGACUGAUCAUUGGAGUCAUCGUUGGUCUGUCAGCUGUGCUGAUUUUUGUGGCCUGUCUCAUCUAUAAAAAUCCCGAAAAAAGACAAAACAUAUUUCUUGUUCCAUCUUGUCACGAACGGAUACGACAUUGUUUCUGUAGACGAACAGGGGCUCAUGUAACAUCGGCAGUAAUAUAAUUUCCCUUCCCCUUCCCCUUUCAUCCCCCUUCUUGAAUUGCCACCUUAUCGUGGUGGAGGGGUUUGUGAGCUCAGACGAUCCUGGGAGCUGAGUUGUCUGGAGCGUUCAGCUCCUGGUAGGGUCUCCCAUGACAAACAGGUCCCAGGUGAUGAGCCAGACUAAGAGCAAUUCAAAAAAACAUUGUCCUGUUUGUACCAAUCAUGUGGACAACAGCUAAAUCUGAUUUAGCGACUUAGUGUUACCUAAGACAUGAUUGCGUAUUAUAAAAACCUGUGAUAAUGAAAGGACAAUAUGUAACUGUUAAAUGUAAUAAAAUGAGUUAGACUUGAAACACGAGACCACAGAGUUCUGUGUGAACACACCAACAUGUUGGCUGGUGUGGACCAGGUAAAGACAACAUGUACUCAUACAAAUAUCAAAGAUGAGUAGCUCAAUUACAUUUUAUGCAAAGGACAAGUACUCCAGCUGGCUUCUGUUGUUACCUGGUGUUACUUAAAUAUAAUUGUAUUGACAGUAUUUGAAUUUACUGACACAACUUCUUUUUUUUACUGUUUACACGUCAAAUCUGUAUCAGGUAUCCUGUAAAUUCAGCUGUCAUAAUAACAGCACUGAAGGUAAAACAGCUUUCUAUAGACUGGGACACUUCAGGCUAAAUUAUGUGUUCACUGCAUCUAAAAAAACAAUAAUGAUGCUAAUGAUUAUUACUGUGUUUAUUAUCAGGUGAUUUGUAUGUUUAUGCCAUUAAAAGAUGGAAUCAAAAUACUUCUAAUGGCAUUUAUUGUACAGUUUUAUUUAUGUUUUAUUGUUGCUGUGCACUGAAAGCAGCAGUUUGGGAAUCAGAUUGUUGUUUAAAAUGAACUUGAUGCAAAAGUGUUUUUCUCUUCAGUACUUUGUGUGAUCCUGAUACUGACUGUGAUCAGUGUGACUGGAGCCAUGGUUGGUUUUCUGUCCUGCAGAACUGUUAAUAAAAGCUGUUUGUUGCA